This 490-nucleotide ribosomal RNA is filed under the name uncultured bacterium. RNAcentral describes it as "partial 16S ribosomal RNA". It matches the Rfam family "Bacterial small subunit ribosomal RNA", at positions 29 to 507 of the family's 1533-position model. The record is from RNAcentral.
AUUGAACGCUGGCGGCAGGCCUAACACAUGCAAGUCGAACGGUAACAGGAAGAAGCUUGCUUCUUUGCUGACGAGUGGCGGACGGGUGUGUCAUGUCUGGGAAACUGCCUGAUGGAGGGGGAUACCUACUGGAAACGGUAGCUAAUACCGCAUAACGUCGCAAGACCAAAGAGGGGGACCUGCGGGCCUCUUGCCUUCGGCUGUGCCCAGAUGGGAUUAGCUAGUGGGUGGGGUAACGGCUCACCUAGGCAACCAUCCCUAGCUGGUCUGAGAGGGGUACCCGCCAAAUCGGAACUGAGACACGGGCCAGACUCCCAAGGGAGGCAGCAGGAGGGAAUAUUGCGCAAUGGGGGAAAGCCCGAAGGAGGAAAGGCGAGUGAGUGAAGAAGGGCUUCGGGGUUGAAAAGUCUUUUAGGGGGGAAGAAAGGAGGUAAAAUUAAACCUGUGCGUCUUGACGGUACCCAAAAAGAAAGGCACGGCUAAAUUCGUG